This is a long non-coding RNA of Vespa mandarinia (Asian giant hornet), 495 nucleotides long. NCBI's taxonomy places the organism in Eukaryota, Metazoa, Arthropoda, Insecta, Hymenoptera, Vespidae. The record is from RefSeq and is a predicted model, not a curated record.
UCUCGUACGUGGAAGACGUAUUAUGCGCAGUAUGGUCUCAAUUGAAUAUUCCUAGAUCGUUGAAACGGUUUAAUUUCGAUCGAGAUCGCGAUUAAAUUAUCAAAAAGAUCAUAUAGUCAUUCGGUAUUAUAAAUUUUAUUAAAUACGAGAAAGUGACGAUCGUGAAAUUGACAAUCGACGAGAUUGAGAUCACGUUUUAUCAGAUAUCUUUCAAGGAUUAAUCCUUUGAAUUGGAGUUCCUCGUCAAGGAUUCAAGGCGAUAGACACCACGGAUGACGUUACUUAUUGUGAAGUAGAAAGAGAAGAAGGUGGAAGAGGAGGAAGAGAAAGAAAAAGAAGAGCAGCCGCUAAGUGCGGUAGACUGCGCAUUCGCGAAAAGGGGAAGGACGAACGACACAAAGAGAAAGAUAUAUAUGCGUAUACACGUACACAUAUACAUAUAUAUAUAAAGAAAGGGAGUAAGAGAGAGAGAGAGAGAGAGAGAGAGAGAGAGAG